This is a non-coding RNA of Ameiurus melas (black bullhead), 85 nucleotides long. Lineage: Eukaryota; Metazoa; Chordata; Actinopteri; Siluriformes; Ictaluridae. The record is from the annotation of a GenBank genome assembly.
GUAGUGGUAGCUCAGUGGUUACGACAUUGGAUUACUAAUCAUGGAAGUUCGGAAGGUCAUGAGUUCAAAUCCCAGCGCUGCCACU